This 301-nucleotide ribosomal RNA is filed under the name uncultured bacterium. RNAcentral's name for it is "partial 16S ribosomal RNA". It matches the Rfam family "Bacterial small subunit ribosomal RNA", at positions 509 to 807 of the family's 1533-position model. The record is from RNAcentral.
CAGCAGCCGCGGGAAUACGUAGGUGGCAAGCGUUGUCCGGAUUUAUUGGGCGUAAAGCGAGCGCAGGCGGUUCCUUAAGUCUGAUGUGAAAGCCCCCGGCUCAACCGGGGAGGGUCAUUGGAAACUGGGGAACUUGAGUGCAGAAGAGGAGAGUGGAAUUCCAUGUGUAGCGGUGAAAUGCGUAGAGAUGUGGAGGAACACCAGUGGCGAAGGCGACUCUCUGGUCUGUAACUGACGCUGAGGAGCGAAAGCGUGGGGAGCGAACAGGAUUAGAUACCCGUGUAGUCCCUGUCUCUUAUAC